This 492-nucleotide ribosomal RNA is filed under the name uncultured bacterium. RNAcentral's name for it is "partial 16S ribosomal RNA". It matches the Rfam family "Bacterial small subunit ribosomal RNA", at positions 29 to 507 of the family's 1533-position model. The record is from RNAcentral.
AGUGAACGCUGGCGGUAGGCCUAACACAUGCAAGUCGAACGGCAGCACAGUAAGAGCUUGCUCUUACGGGUGGCGAGUGGCGGACGGGUGAGGAAUACAUCGGAAUCUACUUUUUCGUGGGGGAUAACGUAGGGAAACUUACGCUAAUACCGCAUACGACCUACGGGUGAAAGCAGGGGAUCUUCGGACCUUGCGCGAUUGAAUGAGCCGAUGUCGGAUUAGCUAGUUGGCGGGGUACAGGCCCACCAAGGCGACGAUCCGUAGCUGGUCUGAGAGGAUGAUCAGCCACACUGGAACUGAGACACGGUCCAGACUCCUACGGGAGGCAGCAGUGGGGAAUAUUGGACAAUGGGCGCAAGCCUGAUCCAGCCAUACCGUGUGGGUGAAGAAGGCCUUCGGGUUGUAAAGCCCUUUUGUUGGGAAAGAAAAGCAGCAGGUUAAUACCCCGCUGUUCUGACGGUACCCAAAGAAUAAGCACCGGCUAACUUCGUG